RNAcentral lists this ribosomal RNA (460 nucleotides) under uncultured bacterium. RNAcentral's name for it is "partial 16S ribosomal RNA". It matches the Rfam family "Bacterial small subunit ribosomal RNA", at positions 338 to 795 of the family's 1533-position model. The record is from RNAcentral.
CCUACGGGUGGCAGCAGUGGGGAAUAUUGCACAAUGGGGGAGAGCCUGAACCAGCCAAGUCGCGUGAAGGAUGACGGCCCUACGGGUUGUAAACUUCUUUUGUCAGGGAGCAAUUGGGUCCACGCGUGGGCUUAGCGAGAGUACCUGAAGAAAAAGCAUCGGCUAACUCCGUGCCAGCAGCCGCGGUAAUACGGAGGAUGCGAGCGUUAUCCGGAUUUAUUGGGUUUAAAGGGUGCGAAGGCGGAAUAUCAAGUCAGCGGUAAAAAUUCGGGGCUCAACCCGGACGUGCCGUUGAAACUGGUGUGCUUGAGUGGGCGAGAGCUAUGCGGAAUGCGUGGUGUAGCGGUGAAAUGCAUAGAUAUCACGCAGAACUCCGAUUGCGAAGGCAGCAUACCGGCGCCAAACUGACGCUGAGGUACGAAAGCGUGGGUAUCGAACAGGAUUAGAUACCCCAGUAGUC